Molecule: ribosomal RNA, 2235 nt
Filed under: human gut metagenome
Description: bacterial LSU rRNA
Rfam family: Bacterial large subunit ribosomal RNA
Source: RNAcentral
UCAAGCUGAAAAGAGCGCAAGGGGAAUGCCUUGGCAUCAGGAGCCGAAGAAGGACGUGACAAGCUGCGAUAAGCUUCGGGGAGGUGCAAAUAACCGUCGAUCCGGAGAUUUCCGAAUGGGGAAACCCGGCAGAGCAAUACUCUGUCAGCGUGCGUUGAAUCAAAUAGGCGUACGUGGGGAACCGCCUGAACUGAAACAUCUAAGUAGGGCGAGGAAGAGAAAUCAACCGAGAUUCCGCUAGUAGUGGCGAGCGAACGCGGAAGAGGCCAAACCGGAGGUAGCAAUAUUUCCGGGGUUAGGACUGCAAUAUGUAACUUUAAUCUUUAACUGAAUGCUUUGGGAAGAGCAGCGAAACAGGGUGACAGCCCCGUAAGUGAAAGAGAUUGAGUGCUAGCAGUAUCCAGAGUACCAGCGGACACGUGAAACCCGCUGGGAAGAUGGGGGGACCAUCCUCCAAGCCUAAAUACUACUCAGUGACCGAUAGUGGAGCAGUACCGUGAGGGAAAGGUGAAAAGUACCCCGGGAGGGGAGUGAAAGAGAACCUGAAACCUUGUGCCUACAAGCACCGAGAGCACGUUAAAGUGUGAUCGGGUACUUUUUGUAGAACGGUCCGGCGAGUUAAUAUUUGCAGCGAGGUUAAGGAACUGGAGUUCCGGAGCCGCAGCGAGAGCGAGUCUGAAUAGGGCGUAUGAAGUUGCAGGUAUUAGACCCGAAACCGGGUGACCUAUCCAUGAGCAGGCUGAAGCGGUGGUAAGACACCGUGGAGGGCCGCACCCACGUCUGUUGAAAAAGCCGGGGAUGACUUGUGGAUAGCGGAGAAAUUCCAAUCGAACUCGGAGAUAGCUGGUUCUCCCCGAAAUAGCUUUAGGGCUAGCGUUAUUUUAGAUUACCGGAGGUAAAGCACUGAAUGGUCUAGGGGCCGCGAGGUUACCAAAGCCUAUCAAACUCUGAAUGCCGGAUAAUUGAUGAAUAGCAGUCAGACUGUGUGAGAUAAGUCUCAUAGUCAAAAGGGAAACAGCCCAGAUCUACAGCUAAGGUCCCAAAUGAACACUAAGUGGAAAAUGAUGUGAAACUGCGAAGACAACCAGGAUGUUGGCUUAGAAGCAGCCACUCAUUCAAAGAGUGCGUAAUAGCUCACUGGUCGAGUGGUUUUGCGCAGAAAAUGUAACGGGGCUAAGUGUUCAACCGAAGCUUAGGCAUUGCAGUAAUGCAUUGGGUAGGGGAGCGUCGUAUGCGGGGCGAAGUCAGAGCGGAAGCACUGGUGGACUGCAUACGAGUGAGAAUGCCGGAAUAAGUAGCGAGAAUUAUGUGAGAAUCAUAAUGGCCGAAAAUCUAAGGUUUCCUGGGGAAGGUUCGUCCGCCCAGGGUUAGUCGGGAGCUAAGCUCAGGCCGAAAGGCGUAGGCGAUGCACAUACGGUAGAAAUUCCGUAACCACCGAACAUUUAAGCUAGAGGGACGCUUUCUUUAAGGUUAUCCCGGGCGAUGGUUGCCCCGGGCGUAAGGGACCGAAAUUUAGUAGGGAAGUAACUGGCGAGAGAGACGAGAAAAGCUCUAGUGUAUACUAAGGUGCCCGUACCGCAAACCGACACAGGUAGAUGGGAUGAGUAUUCUAAGGCCAACGGGAGAAGGGUUGUUAAGGAACUCGGCAAAUUGGCCCCGUAACUUCGGGAUAAGGGGCGCCUGCGAGAGCAGGCCGCAGUGAAAAGGCCCAAGCGACUGUUUAGCAAAAACACAGCUCUCUGCUAAAUCGAAAGAUGACGUAUAGGGGGUGACGCCUGCCCGGUGCUGGAAGGUUAAGGGGAGUGCUUAGCGCAAGCGAAGGUGCGAACUUAAGCCCCAGUAAACGGCGGCCGUAACUAUAACGGUCCUAAGGUAGCGAAAUUCCUUGUCAGGUAAGUUCUGACCCGCACGAAUGGCGUAACGAUUUGGGCACUGUCUCAACAGCCCGCCCGGCGAAAUUGUAGUACCGGUGAAGAUGCCGGUUUCCCGCAACUAGACGGAAAGACCCCAUGGAGCUUCACUGUAGCUUGAUAUUGGAUCUCGGUAUUCCAUGUACAGGAUAGGUGGGAGACUUGGAAGUAAGCGCGCCAGCGUUUAUGGAGUCAACCUUGGGAUACCACUCUUGGGAUAUUGGGAUUCUAACCUGCGACCAUGAAUCUGGUCGGGGGACACUGUCAGGUGGGCAGUUUGACUGGGGCGGUCGCCUCCAAAAGAGUAACGGAGGCGCUCAAAGGU